Molecule: ribosomal RNA, 207 nt
Filed under: uncultured bacterium
Lineage: Bacteria
Description: partial 16S ribosomal RNA
Rfam family: Bacterial small subunit ribosomal RNA
Source: RNAcentral
CGGAUUGCAGCCUGCAACUCGGCUGCAUGAAGCUGGAAUCGCUAGUAAUCGCAGAUCAGAAUGCUGCGGUGAAUACGUUCCCGGGUCUUGUACACACCGCCCGUCACACCAUGGGAGUUGGGAAUGCCCGAAGUCAGUGACCCAACCGCAAGGAGGGAGCUGCCGAAGGCAGGCUUGAUAACUGGGGUGAAGUCGUAACAAGGUAUC